Molecule: long non-coding RNA, 1728 nt
Organism: Thalassophryne amazonica
Lineage: Eukaryota; Metazoa; Chordata; Actinopteri; Batrachoidiformes; Batrachoididae
Exons: 2
Source: RefSeq, a predicted model, not a curated record
UCAUACUAUUAAGAACAUAUACACAACACACGUGAUCACUUUUAUUAAAAACUUCAGAGUUUACAAGUCCGACAGCUUGUAUUACCUCAAUCCUAUACUUCAAAGAAUCUAUUUACUACUGUGACCUGUUUAAAAAACCAACACAGCAGCCUUCUAUGCACACAUCUUGUCAUCGAUCAUUAAAUUCUCCAUCACUGACCCAGUAUGGAUUUAUUUGAUUUCAAAAAACAACUGCAGUUCGCUGAACGAAGACCAUUAAAAUUUUUCAAACCAAAAUAUUUUAUGGAAACAUUUCUUCAAUAACAUUCAUUUAGACGUACAAUGAUAUAAAUUCUGAACUUCAAAUCUCAGCAGUAUGACCUUGUAUCUUAUAACUGUGAACAAAGAUGACAUUUUAUAGUUUUAUAUUUUACAGUUAUGAGCUAAUAUUCUUCAGCAGUACCAAACAGUUACUUUAAAGAACAGUUUCUUCAUAUUAGUAAUUGCUGUGUUUGUUUGGCAGAAAGAUCAAUGGAGUGUGAUAGCCAAUUUCAAAGUGACUCCACCAGAAUCCAUUUAAGGAGUGUGUUCCAAAUACAGUGCAUUUUUCUAAAUUCUCUUGCACUGAUCUGUUUUGUUUGUGUCUUGUGUCUUCAAACUGCUCACAAUCAUUUCUUAAAAACACUAGGGGCCCAAUGUUGACAAUCCAUAGCACACAAUCUAAAGUGCAUAGUCCAAAUGCAUUCAGGGUGUGUCCAAUUUCACCUUGCCAUUUGGAGGCUGGGGUGCACCAGCAGCUGGUGCACUGCUAUUCAGAGGACUCAAGUGAGAGGUUUGUUGGCAGGUUAGUCAAGUCUAUAAGUAUUUAGUGACUGGUUUUUGUAAACUUGCCUCUAUACACCACCACAGUGAAGCCAAAAUGAAUUGAGAAGUACCCACAGUGUAAAUGUUUAGCUUCAACAUUUUUAGUAACUUGAAAAUGUUUGUGUAAAGAAAAAGAGAAAUCUUUUAAAUUGAUGAGUUGUAUUAAAAGAAUCCUGACAUUUAGUUUGUCCAAUUACAUACUUAUAGCUUCAGAAAAUGGAUGAACUAUACAAACAGCUGUAAUUCCAAAAUAGCUAGUGUGAUAUUUUUGUUAAACCCCUUGAAUUAAAAACAGUCAACCCUGCAAGCACAUCUACAUUUUGAUAAUUUUAUUUCAACUCCAUUGUGGUGGUGUAGAGAAAAAAAAAUUACAAAAAUCUCUGACUGUAAAUACUUGUAGAACAGAUCUGCUCCAGUGCUUCAUACAGCACAUUCAGGUGUGUUGAUGGUACAAGCACAGUGUACUACAUGUAGCAUGAACCUGCCUAUGUAAGGUACACCUGAAUAUUUCACCAUAAUAUAGAACAACUAUUCACUCAAAUUUAGAUCAGAUUGUUGCUGAUAUAUAUGGCACAACUGUUUUCUGCUUCCUCGCAGUAACAAUGCCCCGGUGCAACACCUUGUUUUAGGACCAUGAGCACAAAUCCAGUCUGGAUUUGUAGAAUAUAGGCACUGGGUGUGAAAAUGGCAAGUGUGUUGGUUGGACACCAGCAAUGACACUUGUGAGGUGUGCUGCUUUGUGUUGGGUAGAAAAUAUGACCCUAGAACCAAGAAAAGAAAAUGUAUGGAUAAAAAGUAAAGUAAAAUGUUGUUUGCCCAUUUUGGCAAAAAUAUUGGUGACAUUUUACAUCUUACAAACAAAAACCCAUGUAAAAAGAUGAAGAG